Long non-coding RNA from Acipenser ruthenus (sterlet), 1113 nucleotides. RefSeq lists it as uncharacterized. The record is from RefSeq and is a predicted model, not a curated record. Lineage: Eukaryota; Metazoa; Chordata; Actinopteri; Acipenseriformes; Acipenseridae. The transcript has 3 exons.
AGGAGGGCCACGGUGUGAACUCGGAGGCUCUGAGCUCGGCUGAUAAGAGCUACCUCUCCCAGAGCCUGCCCGCUCUCCUCGCCUACCCCAGCCUGCUUGCAGAGGAGAUCAGCCGUGACGGCCUGCGGACAGGAGGCUACAUGCCGAGCGGAGCUGUGAAAGAGGUCCUCUUGGAGAAGCAAAGCCGACUCCCCCAUAUGACCCGGAUCCUGGGAAACAGGAACCAGUUCAGGAAGAGAGGAAGCACGUCAGAAUGCUUCUGGAAAUACUGCGUCUGAGACACACACUGAAACACGCACACACACACUGAGAAACGCACGCACACUGAGACACACACACACUGAGACAGAGACACACACUGAGAAACGCACGCACACUGAGACACACACACACUGAGACAGAGACACACACUGAGACACACACACACACUGAGACAGACACACACACUGAGACACACUGACACACACACACACAAAUCCUUGCAUGUGUAAUGAAAAGUACAGCCGCUGUUAUUUUUUUAUAACAGUUAAGGAGUGCUGUGCACAAACCGUGUAAAUAACAAUCUACUGGCAACUCACCGGCCUUCUCGAAUGCUAAACUGUAUCUUCAAUAAAACUUCAUGUUUCGAAAAAAAAAGAACCCCAGUCUGAUGUGUUGUUUUUUAUCUGAACGACUGAAAGUCUGUUUCGAUUUCACUUCAGUCUGAAGCAGGUUCAGAAAUAUCACAAGAAAAAACAAACAAAGAAAAAGGUGUUCUUAAAUUUUGCCUCUUCUGAACUUAAAAAAAAAAAAAUAAUUAUAUAUAUAUAUAUCCUACAGCAGGUCUUUGCAAAGAAAGCUAGGUAUAGAAAGGAUCAAUUACGUUCUUAGCAACCGUUUCUAACAAGGCAUCAGCACCAGCUACCUCCCCCGCUCUGACGAACUUGUAAUGAGGGAGAGAGGGAGUGAGAGAGGUAGAGAGAGGGAGGGAGGGGCUCACGCCAACAUGAGGCAGGUACAGAAGUAACGCUUUUCAUUUCUUUACUUCGAAAUCAAGCAUUUGAAAUGAGGCUGUAUCGGCUUCCUGAAGCAAGCCAUCGUGAUGAGCUUUAUAUAAUCACUCAGAACAACAAC